Molecule: ribosomal RNA, 253 nt
Filed under: uncultured bacterium
Lineage: Bacteria
Description: partial 16S ribosomal RNA
Rfam family: Bacterial small subunit ribosomal RNA
Source: RNAcentral
UACAGAGGGGGCAAGCGUUAUUCGGAAUUAUUGGGCGUAAAGGGCGCGUAGGCGGCCUGGCAAGUGGAAGGUGAAAUCCCUCGGCUUAACCGAGGAACUGCCCUCCAAACUGCUUGGCUUGAGUCCGGGAGAGGUGAGUGGAAUUCCCAGUGUAGCGGUGAAAUGCGUAGAUAUUGGGAGGAACACCAGCGGCGAAGGCGGCUCACUGGACCGGAACUGACGCUGAGGCGCGAAAGCGUGGGGAGCAAACGGG